GCUGGUAAAGCCAAAUUCAGAAAUCAUGUUGACUGUCAAGAUCUACAUUCAGAAAUGAUGGAGAUUAUUUCACAGGGAUCUUUAAUAGUUUAUGCUUUCAUCUGAUGAAUUGAUUGUCAAAGUUAAUAAGACAGAUUUAAAGAACUGAAAGAAAGUCGAAAAAAAAUGUGGAAACCAAUAAAGAUUGAAAUUAAACUAUUGCACCUUCUGUAAGAUAAAUGGAAAACAAAAUAAAUAAAUGGCAAAGCAAAAUAAAAUCUAAAUAUUUUUAGUAUGAGUGCUUUAAAGCUGAUCAACAAUUUUCUACGUGUGCUGGCCUAAAGAGGAUGAGUCGUUAAACUAGAAUGAGAAUUGGGCCAUAUACCCAGGGCAGGUGAAAUUAGCGUGAGGUAAUUAUGAAGGCAUAGGGAGAUUUUUAGCAUUGACACAAUUAAAGACUGAAGUAUGCAGAGGAAAAGAAAAACAUGAGACUAAAAUUAGAAAAAACUAAAAUAAAUAUUGUAUUUGGAUUCUUUUUUCCAAAAAAUUUUUUGCAAUUUGGGCAACAUAAGCUUAUAUUUGAAAACCUGUG
This 571-nucleotide long non-coding RNA is filed under the name Bos taurus (domestic cattle). Its description in RNAcentral is "long non-coding RNA NONBTAT019484". Lineage: Eukaryota; Metazoa; Chordata; Mammalia; Artiodactyla; Bovidae. The record is from RNAcentral.